GUCCCUCUAGUUUAGCGGUUAGAACACUGCCCUUGCACGGCGGCGGCCGGGGUUCGAUUCCCCGUGGGGACGCCA
RNAcentral lists this transfer RNA (75 nucleotides) under Craterilacuibacter sinensis. RNAcentral's name for it is "Neisseriaceae bacterium B2N2-7 tRNA-Ala". It matches the Rfam family "tRNA". Rfam says of the family: Transfer RNA (tRNA) molecules are approximately 80 nucleotides in length. Their secondary structure includes four short double-helical elements and three loops (D, anti-codon, and T loops). Lineage: Bacteria; Pseudomonadati; Pseudomonadota; Betaproteobacteria; Neisseriales; Neisseriaceae. The record is from RNAcentral.